UCCUUCAUUCUCAGAUAAAACGUUGAUCCUGUUUCAGACGGCUCCAUUUCUCUAGAGACGCUGCAGGGGCAGCAAGUUAUGAAAGGAAGAUUAUUGGAGCAAAGCAGAGCAACAGCUGGUUUCAGGUUGAGGUCAGGAUGGGGAACACCUCACCCAGUGUUCUGGUCUCACUCUUGCUGAACACACUCCUCUGCUGUGGACAAACUCACGGUGCUGGGCUGACUAUUGAGCCCAACUCGUCAACGUUUUAUGUUGGAGAAUCUUUUACAUUUAACUGUGACAUG
Poecilia latipinna (sailfin molly) is the source of this 284-nucleotide long non-coding RNA. RefSeq lists it as uncharacterized. The transcript is spliced from 3 exons. The record is from RefSeq and is a predicted model, not a curated record. NCBI's taxonomy places the organism in Eukaryota, Metazoa, Chordata, Actinopteri, Cyprinodontiformes, Poeciliidae.